Molecule: non-coding RNA, 256 nt
Organism: Pelobates cultripes (western spadefoot toad)
Lineage: Eukaryota; Metazoa; Chordata; Amphibia; Anura; Pelobatidae
Source: the annotation of a GenBank genome assembly
CUUUUCUUGUCCUGAGAACUCCAUCAGGCCAGGGCUAUUUCUGGGGGGCCGUAGGAUGAGUGUGGGUGGUGUGCUACUAUCAACGUCCGAAGGAUGGAAUAAUCAAACUCUCAAGCUCAAAUUUAGCCUUGCAAAGAUAGUGUCACUUUCUGGUGCAGAAUAGACUUGUGGUAAAAUAAAGAAUCCGCUGUCUUCUAUCUAUUAAGGAAAAGGUCUACAUUCGCAGGAACAAAGUGUGUCCUUACAGCUAAUUCAC